RNAcentral lists this ribosomal RNA (482 nucleotides) under uncultured bacterium. Its description in RNAcentral is "partial 16S ribosomal RNA". It matches the Rfam family "Bacterial small subunit ribosomal RNA", at positions 30 to 506 of the family's 1533-position model. The record is from RNAcentral.
AUUGAACGCUGGCGGCAGGCCUAACACAUGCAAGUCGAGCGGAUGAAGGGAGCUUGCUCCUGGAUUCAGCGGCGGACGGGUGAGUAAUGCCUAGGAAUCUGCCUGGUAGUGGGGGAUAACGUCCGGAAACGGGCGCUAAUACCGCAUACGUCCUAGGGAGAAAGUGGGGGAUCUUCGGACCUCACGCUAUCAGAUGAGCCUAGGUCGGAUUAGCUAGUUGGUGGGGUAAAGGCCUACCAAGGCGACGAUCCGUAACUGGUCUGAGAGGAUGAUCAGUCACACUGGAACUGAGACACGGUCCAGACUCCUACGGGAGGCAGCAGUGGGGAAUAUGGGACAAUGGGCGAAAGCCUGAUCCAGCCAUGCCGCGUGUGUGAAGAAGGUCUGCGGAUUGUAAAGCACUUUAAGUUGGGAGGAAGGGCAGUAAGUUAAUACCUUGCUGUUUUGACGUUACCAACAGAAUAAGCACCGGCUAACUUCGU